This 520-nucleotide ribosomal RNA is filed under the name uncultured Acaulospora. RNAcentral describes it as "SSU rRNA". It matches the Rfam family "Eukaryotic small subunit ribosomal RNA", at positions 569 to 1088 of the family's 1831-position model. Lineage: Eukaryota; Fungi; Glomeromycota; Glomeromycetes; Diversisporales; Acaulosporaceae. The record is from RNAcentral.
AGCAGCCGCGGUAAUUCCAGCUCCAAUAGCGUAUAUUAAAGUUGUUGCAGUUAAAAAGCUCGUAGUUGAAUUUCGGGAUUUAUCCGUCGGUCGGGCUUUUGGGUCUGUACUGGCGUGAUGGAUUCCUACCUUCUGAAUAACCGGCAUGUCAUUAAUUUGGUGCGCCGGGGAAGCAGGACUGUUACCUUGAAAAAAUUAGAGUGCUUAAAGCAGGCUUAUGCCUGAAUACAUUAGCAUGGAAUAAUGAAAUAGGACGGCAUGGUUCUAUUUUGUUGGUUUCUAGGAUCAACGUAAUGAUUAAUAGGGAUAGUUGGGGGCAUUAGUAUUCAAUUGUCAGAGGUGAAAUUCUUGGAUUUAUUGAAGACUAACUACUGCGAAAGCAUUUGCCAAGGAUGUUUUCAUUAAUCAAGAACGAAAGUUAGGGGAUCGAAGACGAUCAGAUACCGUCGUAGUCUUAACCAUAAACUAUGCCGACUAGGGAUCGGAUGAUGUUAAUUUUUAAUGUACUCAUUCGGCGUCC